GACGUAGGGGGCGAGCGUUGUUCGGAAUUAUUGGGCGUAAAGAGCUUGUAGGCGGGAAAGUAAGUCUUUGAAUAAAGGCUAAGGCUCAACUUUAGUAAGUUCGGAGAUACUGCUUUUCUUGAGAACAGGAGAGGGGAGUGGAAUUCCUAGUGUAGCGGUGAAAUGCGUAGAUAUUAGGAGGAACACCAGUGGCGAAGGCGGCUCUCUGGCCUGUUUCUGACGCUGAGGAGCGAAAGCUGGGGGAGCGAACGGGAUUAGAUACCCCGGUAGUCCCAGCUGUAAACGAUGGACACUAGGUGUAGGAGGUAUCGACCCCUUCUGUGCCGCAGUUAACACAAUAAGUGUCCCGCCUGGGGAGUACGGCCGCAAGGCUAAA
RNAcentral lists this ribosomal RNA (376 nucleotides) under uncultured bacterium. RNAcentral's name for it is "bacterial SSU rRNA". It matches the Rfam family "Bacterial small subunit ribosomal RNA", at positions 524 to 898 of the family's 1533-position model. The record is from RNAcentral.